Molecule: ribosomal RNA, 385 nt
Filed under: uncultured bacterium
Lineage: Bacteria
Description: bacterial SSU rRNA
Rfam family: Bacterial small subunit ribosomal RNA
Source: RNAcentral
AUUGAACGCUGGCGGCAUGCCUUACACAUGCAAGUCGAACGGCAGCACGGGAGCAAUCCUGGUGGCGAGUGGCGAACGGGUGAGUAAUAUAUCGGAACGUGCCCAGUCGUGGGGAUAACGUAGCGAAAGCUACGCUAAUACCGCAUACGAUCUAUGGAUGAAAGCGGGGGAUCGCAAGACCUCGCGCGAUUGGAGCGGCCGAUAUCAGAUUAGGUAGUUGGUGAGGUAAAGGCUCACCAAGCCGACGAUCUGUAGCUGGUCUGAGAGGACGACCGGCCACACUGGGACUGAGACACGGCCCAGACUCCUACGGGAGGCAGCAGUGGGGAAUUUUGGACAAUGGGCGCAAGCCUGAUCCAGCAAUGCCGCGUGCAGGAUGAAGGCC